Molecule: ribosomal RNA, 460 nt
Filed under: uncultured bacterium
Lineage: Bacteria
Description: partial 16S ribosomal RNA
Rfam family: Bacterial small subunit ribosomal RNA
Source: RNAcentral
CCUACGGGAGGCAGCAGUGAGGAAUAUUGGUCAAUGGACGAGAGUCUGAACCAGCCAAGUAGCGUGAAGGAUGACUGCCCUAUGGGUUGUAAACUUCUUUUAUAUGGGAAUAAAACGUUCCACGUGUGGGAUUUUGUAUGUACCAUAUGAAUAAGGAUCGGCUAACUCCGUGCCAGCAGCCGCGGUAAUACGGAGGAUCCGAGCGUUAGCCGGAUUUAUUGGGUUUAAAGGGAGCGUAGGUGGAUUGUUAAGUCAGUUGUGAAAGUUUGCGGCUCAACCGUAAAAUUGCAGUUGAAACUGGCAGUCUUGAGUACAGUAGAGGUGGGCGGAAUUCGUGGUGUAGCGGUGAAAUGCUUAGAUAUCACGAAGAACUCCGAUUGCGAAGGCAGUUCACUGGACUGCAACUGACACUGAGGCUCGAAAGUGUGGGUAUCAAACAGGAUUAGAUACCCGUGUAGUC